Molecule: ribosomal RNA, 434 nt
Filed under: uncultured Sarcina sp.
Lineage: Bacteria; Bacillati; Bacillota; Clostridia; Eubacteriales; Clostridiaceae
Description: bacterial SSU rRNA
Rfam family: Bacterial small subunit ribosomal RNA
Source: RNAcentral
ACGGGAGGCAGCAGUGGGGGAUAUUGCACAAUGGGGGAAACCCUGAUGCAGCAACGCCGCGUGAGUGAUGAAGGUCUUCGGAUUGUAAAGCUCUGUCUUUAGGGACGAUAAUGACGGUACCUAAGGAGGAAGCCACGGCUAACUACGUGCCAGCAGCCGCGGUAAUACGUAGGUGGCAAGCGUUAUCCGGAUUUACUGGGCGUAAAGGGAGCGUAGGCGGAUAUUUAAGUGGGAUGUGAAAUACCCGAGCGUAACUUGGGUGCUGCAUUCCAAACUGGGGAUCUAGAGUGCAGGAGAGGAGAAGGGAAUUCCUAGUGUAGCGGUGAAAUGCGUAGAGAUUAGGAAGAACACCAGUGGCGAAGGCGAUUCUCUGGACUGUAACUGACGCUGAGGCUCGAAAGCGUGGGGAGCAAACAGGAUUAGAUACCCUGGUA